GAUGAACGCUAGCGGCAGGCCUAACACAUGCAAGUCGAGGGGUAGAGUUCUUCGGGACUUGAGACCGGCGCACGGGUGCGUAACGCGUAUGCAAUCUACCUUAUACAGGGGAAUAGCCCGAGAGAAAUUUGGAUUAAUGCCCCAUAGUGUUAUCGAAUCGCAUGGUUUGAUAACUAAAGUUCCAACGGUAUAAGAUGAGCAUGCGUCCCAUUAGUUAGUUGGUAAGGUAACGGCUUACCAAGACAAUGAUGGGUAGGGGUCCUGAGAGGGAGAUCCCCCACACUGGUACUGAGACACGGACCAGACGUCCUACGGGAGGCAGCAGUGAGGAAUAUUGGUCAAUGGGGCGGCUAAGGCCUGAACCAGCCAUGCCGCGUGCAGGAAGACGGUCCCUAUGGAUUGUAAACUGC
This 410-nucleotide ribosomal RNA is filed under the name uncultured bacterium. RNAcentral's name for it is "bacterial SSU rRNA". It matches the Rfam family "Bacterial small subunit ribosomal RNA", at positions 28 to 433 of the family's 1533-position model. The record is from RNAcentral.